UCGUUCUCAUUGGGGUGUCCGACCUAAACCGGACUGAGACUGCAACCGCAGAACCCACUGAACCUGAACCAGAUCAUGCUGGCGUAGGAAUUGAGAUAAUACCGACC
RNAcentral lists this non-coding RNA (107 nucleotides) under Photobacterium marinum. RNAcentral describes it as "TPP sequence". It matches the Rfam family "TPP riboswitch aptamer (THI element)". From Rfam's summary of the family: Vitamin B(1) in its active form thiamin pyrophosphate (TPP) is an essential coenzyme that is synthesised by coupling of pyrimidine and thiazole moieties in bacteria. The previously detected thiamin-regulatory element, thi box was extended, resulting in a new, highly conserved RNA secondary structure, the THI element, which is widely distributed in eubacteria and also occurs in some archaea. Analysis of operon structures identified a large number of new candidate thiamin-regulated genes, mostly transporters, in various prokaryotic organisms. The record is from RNAcentral. Lineage: Bacteria; Pseudomonadati; Pseudomonadota; Gammaproteobacteria; Vibrionales; Vibrionaceae.